AUUUUUAAAGAUUUUCUCCUCAGAUAUUUUCAUAAGGAGCUGGGAAUCAAACUUGUCCUGAAAGAUCAAGGCAUGGCAGAAGGAAGGGAGUUUAUUAACUACAAAAAUAUGACUAUUCUCCAAAUAUUGAAUAUCCAUUCUAAAGUUAUCAACAUCUGACUGGAAAAUGUUUGCUGGUUUCAGUUUGUUUACAAGCCAAAGACUUUAUCCACAGCAUCGCUAGAUAGACCUAGAAAAAAUAAUUGUCUAAAAAGCAUAACCGAAAGCUGUUUGAUGAUUUCAGUGGGGUUUGGGUAGCUUCCUAUGAUCCUAUUUUCAUAAAAAGAUGUAUUUGAAUGUAUA
Pantherophis guttatus is the source of this 342-nucleotide long non-coding RNA. RefSeq lists it as uncharacterized. The record is from RefSeq and is a predicted model, not a curated record. Lineage: Eukaryota; Metazoa; Chordata; Lepidosauria; Squamata; Colubridae.